RNAcentral lists this unclassified non-coding RNA (393 nucleotides) under soil metagenome. RNAcentral describes it as "partial contains 5.8S ribosomal RNA, internal transcribed spacer 2, and large subunit ribosomal RNA". The stretch from base 1 to 122 matches the Rfam family "5.8S ribosomal RNA", at positions 35 to 154 of the family's 154-position model. The record is from RNAcentral.
GUUGAAGAACGUAGUGAAAUGCGAUACUUGGUGUGAAUUGCAGAAUCCCGUGAACCAUCGAGUCUUUGAACGCAAGUUGCGCCCGAAGCCAUCCGGCCGAGGGCACGUCUGCCUGGGCGUCACACACCGUUGACCCCCCAAACCCCGUCGGGGAAGAAGGGGGGCGGAUGCUGGCCUCCCGUGAGCCUCGCCUCGCGGCUGGCCCAAAUGCGAGAUCUCUGCUGCGAGCGUCGCGGCGAUGGUGGUUGUCGAAUAACUCGGUGCCCCGUAGCGAACGCCCCCAGCGUGCUGUCUCGGAAUGACCCCUGCGCGCGGCCUCGCGCCGCGCUUCCAACGCGACCCCAGGUCAGGCGGGGCUACCCGCUGAAUUUAAGCAUAUCAAUAAGCGGAGGA